UCAAAAACAUGUCUUUUUGAUAAUAAUUUAAAGUCUAAUCUGCCCACUGAUAUUAUUAUUAAAGGGCUGCAGUAUAUUGACUGUACAAAGGUAGCAUAAUCAUUAGUCUUUUAAUUGAAGACUUGUAUGAAAGAUUUGAUGAAAUAUAAACUGUCUCUAAAUUAAAAAUAAAAUUUAAUUUUUUAGUUAAAAAGCUAAAAUAUUAUUAAAAGACGAGAAGACCCUAUAAAGUUUUAUAAUUUAUUUAUUUAAUAUUAAAUAUAUAUUUAAAUAUAAUAAUUAAAUAAAUUAUUUUAUUGGGGUGAUAGAAAAAUUUAAUAAACUUUUUUUAAAUAUAAACAUAUAUAAGUGAUAAAAUGAUCCAUUAUUAAUGAUUAAAAGAAAAAAUUACUUUAGGGAUAACAGCGUAAUAUUUUUUUUUAGUACGAAUAAAAAAAAAAGUUUGCGACCUCGAUGUUGGAUUAAGAUAAAAUUUAAAUGCAAAAGUUUAAAAUUUUGAUCUGUUCGAUCAUUAAAAUCUUACAUGAUCUGAGCU
RNAcentral lists this ribosomal RNA (535 nucleotides) under Chlosyne nycteis. Its description in RNAcentral is "partial 16S ribosomal RNA". The stretch from base 398 to 535 matches the Rfam family "Archaeal large subunit ribosomal RNA", at positions 2542 to 2680 of the family's 2987-position model. The record is from RNAcentral. Lineage: Eukaryota; Metazoa; Arthropoda; Insecta; Lepidoptera; Nymphalidae.